This 476-nucleotide ribosomal RNA is filed under the name uncultured soil bacterium. RNAcentral describes it as "bacterial SSU rRNA". It matches the Rfam family "Bacterial small subunit ribosomal RNA", at positions 26 to 486 of the family's 1533-position model. The record is from RNAcentral.
AGAAUCAACGCUGGCGGCGUGCCUAACACAUGCAAGUCGAACGCGAGAGGGGCUUCGGCCCCAAUUGAGUGGCGAACGGGUGAGUAACACGUGGGUGAUCUACCUUUGAGUGGGGGAUAACGUUCCGAAAGGAACGCUAAUACCGCAUGACGUUCCGGGUUUGAAGACCUGGAAACCAAAGCCGGGGACCGCAAGGCCUGGCGCUUGGAGAGGAGCCCGCGCCUGAUUAGCUAGUUGGUGAGGUAAUGGCUCACCAAGGCUACGAUCAGUAGCCGGCCUGGAGAGGGCGGACGGCCACGACGUGGGACUGAGACACGGCCCAGACUCCUACGGGAGCAGCAGUGGGAAUUGUUCGCAAGUGGGCGCAAGCCUGACGACGCAACGCCGCGUGGAGAUGAAGGUCUUGGAUUGUAACUCCUGUUCGACCGGACGAUGACGCCCGAACUACGACGUCGGCAGUGACGGUACGGUGACGG